GAGGGUACAGCUAAAGCGGUAAAGUGCAUACUUAGCACGCACGAGGCCCUGGGUUCAAUCCCCAGUACCUCCG
This 73-nucleotide transfer RNA is filed under the name Camelus bactrianus (Bactrian camel). It matches the Rfam family "tRNA". From Rfam's summary of the family: Transfer RNA (tRNA) molecules are approximately 80 nucleotides in length. Their secondary structure includes four short double-helical elements and three loops (D, anti-codon, and T loops). Further hydrogen bonds mediate the characteristic L-shaped molecular structure. tRNAs have two regions of fundamental functional importance: the anti-codon, which is responsible for specific mRNA codon recognition, and the 3' end, to which the tRNAs corresponding amino acid is attached (by aminoacyl-tRNA synthetases). tRNAs cope with the degeneracy of the genetic code in two manners: having more than one tRNA (with a specific anti-codon) for a particular amino acid; and 'wobble' base-pairing, i.e. permitting non-standard base-pairing at the 3rd anti-codon position. RNAcentral also lists the same sequence under 2 other names. The record is from Rfam by way of RNAcentral. Lineage: Eukaryota; Metazoa; Chordata; Mammalia; Artiodactyla; Camelidae.